CGCUCCUAAGCGCCUUGAAGGUCGCAAAGUCGCGGCGGUGACCUGUUUCGAUUCAUUCGGAAAGUUGGCGAUGACGCUCCUCGCUG
Molecule: transfer RNA, 86 nt
Filed under: Synechococcus sp. CC9902
Lineage: Bacteria; Bacillati; Cyanobacteriota; Cyanophyceae; Synechococcales; Synechococcaceae
Description: tRNA-Leu
Source: RNAcentral